AACGUAGGUGGCAGGCGUUAUCCGGAAUUACUGGGCGUAAAGCGUGCGCAGGCGGUUCGUUAAGUCAGAUGUGAAAGCCCCGGGCUCAACCUGGGAACUGCAUUUGAAACUGGCGGGCUUGAGUAUGGCAGAGGGGGGUGGAAUUCCGCGUGUAGCAGUGAAAUGCGUAGAGAUGCGGAGGAACACCGAUGGCGAAGGCAGCCCCCUGGGCCAAUACUGACGCUCAGGCACGAAAGCGUGGGGAGCAAACAGG
Molecule: ribosomal RNA, 253 nt
Filed under: uncultured bacterium
Lineage: Bacteria
Description: partial 16S ribosomal RNA
Rfam family: Bacterial small subunit ribosomal RNA
Source: RNAcentral